GAUGAACGCUGGCGGCGUGCCUAAUACAUGCAAGUCGAGCGAACAGACGAGGAGCUUGCUCCUCUGACGUUAGCGGCGGACGGGUGAGUAACACGUGGAUAACCUACCUAUAAGACUGGGAUAACUUCGGGAAACCGGAGCUAAUACCGGAUAAUAUAUUGAACCGCAUGGUUCAAUAGUGAAAUACGGUUUUGCUGUCACUUAUAGAUGGAUCCGCGCCGCAUUAGCUAGUUGGUAAGGUAACGGCUUACCAAGGCAACGAUGCGUAGCCGACCUGAGAGGGUGAUCGGCCACACUGGAACUGAGACACGGCCCAGACUCCUACGGGAGGCAGCAGUAGGGAAUCUUCCGCAAUGGGCGAAAGCCUGACGGAGCAACGCCGCGUGAGUGAUGAAGGUCUUCGGAUCGUAAAACUCUGUUAUUAGGGAAGAACAAAUGUGUAAGUAACUAUGCACGUCUUGACGGUACCUAAUCAGAAAGCCACGGCUAACUACGUG
This 497-nucleotide ribosomal RNA is filed under the name uncultured bacterium. Its description in RNAcentral is "partial 16S ribosomal RNA". It matches the Rfam family "Bacterial small subunit ribosomal RNA", at positions 28 to 507 of the family's 1533-position model. The record is from RNAcentral.